This 477-nucleotide long non-coding RNA is filed under the name Mytilus galloprovincialis (Mediterranean mussel). The record is from RNAcentral. Lineage: Eukaryota; Metazoa; Mollusca; Bivalvia; Mytilida; Mytilidae.
GUAUAAAGCUAGCGGUUGAACAAAAUGAACAUCGCCGUCAUGAAUAAUAAUGAUAAAAAUAAGUUUUUAGCUCGUUUAAUUGGAGACUUUGGUGAACAUGGUGAAAAGGUUUGCAAAGUAAUUUCUUAUUUUCUUUCAAACAUCGGGCGUAGCUAGAAACCAACUAUCCUAGUCGAAAUUCCGCUUGCAAAAGUGGAAGGUCUCGGACCACCGCUAAUUUGCACACCUGCCUCUAAAUUGAAAAGCUACGAAAAUUUCUUUUUCUAAUUUGAAAUUGCCGCCAACAGCAUGAACAGUUGAACUUAUUAUAUAAUAGACUACUGACGUAGUUGUACUACGUAUUGAUGACAAACAAUAUUCCUACGACUUUUGUCAUUUGGGAAAUCUAAACUGCUUGUCUUAAGAGAUUUUCGGCGAUUAAAUAUUUCAUACAAUUGUUCUUUGACAUCUUAGCUAAAAGCACAAGUCAUAAUGAAC